Salmo salar (Atlantic salmon) is the source of this 577-nucleotide non-coding RNA. The record is from RefSeq and is a predicted model, not a curated record. NCBI's taxonomy places the organism in Eukaryota, Metazoa, Chordata, Actinopteri, Salmoniformes, Salmonidae.
ACUUUUCAUUUGUAGCGCAACUGCAGAGGACUAACUUUGAACGAAACCCACUAAAUGAAGGUCUUAUAUGGCUACAUUUCUUAAUUAAGAAGUGUGGGUUUUAUUUCGACUUCGACGAUUUUGUUAUCAGACUUUUUUUUUAUCGGUUCACGCGAAGUUAUUAGCAGUUGAAAGCAAAGCUCGCGAAUAGCAUUUUCUCGCUAUAGUAAUAGUCUAGCCGAUAUCUAAAUGGAAUAAUCUUAUCUUGUGGUUCAACUAUAAUUUAAAGCUGAUUUCAAGGAGAAUGUGUAUAGAUUUACUGUGAUUUGUUCGUCCAGGAGAAGGAGCAGGCAUGGAAUUCAUACUGCUGCAUGUGCUAGUCUGGAAAAUGAAAGUUCCCGCCUCCGUAUGCAGAGCGUGUGUCAUUGCUGUGACUGGAUCCAACACCACUACGGUCACUUGAGCUCAGAAUACCUUUCCCUGCUGGACCAGAUGGUUGAGGACAAAGUCAGGUUCCUGAAAGAGACCAUCUAUCAAAUCACAAAACCUGGACGAUUUCCUCAACAUUCUAGAACGCCAAUUGGAGAACCUUAAUUCC